CUCAGAACGAACGCUGGCGGCGCGCCUUAAGCAUGCAAGUCGGACGGCAAGGGUUGUGCUUGCACAACUCCUAGAGUGGCGGACUGGUGAGUAACGCGUGGGUGACCUGCCCUCGAGAUGGGGAUAGCCAUUAGAAAUAGUGGAUAAUACCGAAUACGCUCAUGACCCUGUGGGAUAUGAGGAAAACAGGCUACGGCCUGGCUCGAGGAUGGGCCCGCGUCCCAUUAGCUAGUUGGUGAGGUAACGGCCCACCAAGGCGACGAUGGGUAUCCGGCCUGAGAGGGUGUACGGACACAUUGGGACUGAGAUACGGCCCAAACUCCUACGGGAGGCAGCAGCUAAGAAUAUUCCGCAAUGGACGAAAGUCUGACGGAGCGACGCCGCGUGGAUGAAGAAAGGCCGGAAGGUUGUAAAAUCCUUUUGCUGAUGAAGAAUAAGUGUGGUAGGGAAUGACCGCAUGAUGACAUUAGUCGGUGAAUAAGCCCCGGCUAACUACGUGCCAGCAGCGGC
RNAcentral lists this ribosomal RNA (510 nucleotides) under uncultured bacterium. RNAcentral's name for it is "bacterial SSU rRNA". It matches the Rfam family "Bacterial small subunit ribosomal RNA", at positions 23 to 518 of the family's 1533-position model. The record is from RNAcentral.